Cricetulus griseus (Chinese hamster) is the source of this 3036-nucleotide non-coding RNA. NCBI's taxonomy places the organism in Eukaryota, Metazoa, Chordata, Mammalia, Rodentia, Cricetidae. The record is from RefSeq and is a predicted model, not a curated record.
AUCCUGCGGCCGCACACAAAUGGCCGCCCCCGUGCGGGGGCGGGGUCAUGUGGUGACGGCACUGCGGGGUCAGCCCGCCCCCAGCCCCGGAUAGCCAAUCACCACCUUGGGAGAGGGUCGCGGCUUGCGCGUCAAAAGAUCUCUGGAAGCAACCCCUGCCUUGGCAAAACAGUACCAACAUCCACCCCUCCAGAGAGACUUACAGGCCCUUCUGGGACACUGCUCUGUUCAAGUCUUUGCUGUUCAAACAGGGGCUGCAAAGAUAAGAAGCUGUGAGGACGUGGCGGCUGGCAGGGUCAAAAGGGAUAUUUACAGACAUUAAAUUACCUGUGAAGACUCUGUAUCUGUGCAGACCCCAUUAAUACUGGGAGCUUGUGUGGAUGGUGGCAACUGUGACUGGGAUCUAGAAUGACCAAAUGUGACACAGAAUAAUUAUCUGUGGCUUGCUUAGGCCCAGCCUCAGCCUCCUGGCCCAGGUGUCUAGCUCUUACCCAUCCCAGGCAGUGUCUGGAGCUUUCUGGCCAUCUAUCAGACUCCCUUCGGGCCGGCUAGCCAUUGGCUCUGGAGUAGAGGGCUGUUUUCUCCGUUCCUCCUCCUCCCUCUUUCUCUUCCGCUCCUUCUCCCGCUCUUCCAGCUGUCAAGAAAUGCUGAGAUCAGCAAGUAUCAUGGUGAAGAGAAAAGCUGAAGUGUCUCAGCUCUUGCCCAAUAAAAUAGGAAAGAUGGAGAAGAAAAUCUAAAAGAAGGCAGGGCAAGAAGCAGAGUGAUCUCAGUAGCACCCAGGUUAACUGGCAUCUGGUCAUGUAAUAGAAGAGCACUCUCCUCUCACACUCAGAGAAGCAGUGCAGUGGGAAGAGAAGAAAUGUCUCCUGAACAGUAAUGAAAACAGGGCUGGGGCUGCAGUGGGGCUGGCCACCUCUGAGGUCCCACAGUCCUCACCGCAGUGAGCUUCUCCAGUGCACUGAAACGCUCCUCCCAGGCCACUGCUGACUUCUGGAAGGCUUCAUGCCGCUUGAUGAGGCUCUCUACUUCAUCCACGGUGCAACCCAGCUCUGCACUCCGUACUAAUGGCUCCUGGCUGCAUAGCCAGGCCUCCGCCAUCCCUGCAUCUCUCCCAAACACAAGCACCUCCAAAACUGCCAUGGUAGGGGGGAUGUCAUAGAGAGAUGGAAAAUUAGAGUAUGAAAUGGCAGGGCAUGGUAGCAAUGGCAACCUCAAGUACAGGGACAGAGAACAUCAUUGUCCCAGAGUACUGUCAGGAAGUACCAAGUAUAGUAUCCUGGAAUUCCAUAUCCAGGGUUCUUGGGUUCAUGCACUGUGGCCACCACAGAUAGACAAUACCCAGGCCUUUCUCACAAGACCCCUCCCUCUUGCUGACACUCCCACAGUGGCUCACCAAGCUGCAGCCAGUCCAUCUUCUCCUGCCAUUUGUCAGCUGUCUCCUGGCGCCGGGACUGUAGCUGAGACAGCUUCUCUGAGAUCUGGGGGUAAGGUAAGGAGGCCUGACUUAGGGCCUAAUGGGGCCUUUCCACUGAAGUAUAGCAAUGAUUUAUAAUGUCAAGAGGAGAGAAAAAUAGUUCUAUGGGUAGAAAUGCCUGGGUAACAUUGAGAGGACAGUGAAAGAAUUCUUGCUAAGAAAGAAUGACAAGAAGACAGGAAAAAAAAAAAAAUCAAAGCUGGGCAUGAUGGUGCACACCUGUAUCCCAGUACUUGGAAGGACACACCAAGAGAAUUGUUGCCAGCCUGAGCUACAUGGUUGAGACCAUCUCAAGAAACAAAACAAAAACAAAACAAAACAAACAAAAACAAACAAACAAACCCAAAAACCAACCGAACAAACAAAAGGAACAGAAAGAGAAAUUUCAGGAAUAAUCCAUGUUCAGUGUGGCCAGUCAGGUUCUCUCCAAGUCUCACCCACCUCCUCAGCAGCAUAGUGGCUCCGGGCCAGCAGCUCCUGCCCCAUGUCAAUGCAAGAGGAGAACCGGUCUGCUCUGGCCUCUAUCUCUGCUUUGAUGCCUUGUUGAUUCUUGAUGACUAAAUCUGCAGAGGAUACAUCCCUAGGCCGAUACAAAGAUGGUAUCAGCAGCUGCCACAGCUCCACCACAGCCACCAGUAGUAUCACAUACCCUGUGGAGUGUGCCAGGCACUGUGGGUCUCACCGGGGCCGCUCCUGGGCAUCCAUCUGCAGGUUAAUCCCGUCCAUCCAAAGCAUCAAUUCCCGGACAGCCUUGAAGAACCGGAAUUUGUCCGUGGUGUCCAGUAACAGCUGACGACGGGCAGCAGAACUUCCUUGGAGCUGGGCCCAGGCCUCAGCUACUGCCUGCAUGUGACGGCCAAUCUCCUCAGCCUUAUCUCCAGCAUAGGCCUUCUGUAGCCUAUGGCCAUCGUCCUGAACCUGCUGGACCUGUGGGUACCCAGGUCUGAGUCAGGCAGAGCUGGGAGACAGAGGAGCUGAAGCUUCUCUUGUCCCUGCACUGCUUUUUACCUCCUGUUUGAUUCACCAGCCAAAAAGGUGGUAGGAAGAACCAAGGUUCAGAGCCCUACCUACCACCCUCUGUCCUACUGGACCUCAUCUGGGAAUAGGGCUCUAAAAUCAAGUUGAGCUAUCCUACCCAGGGUAGGAUAGGCUAGGACAUUGAAAAAAAAAAAAAAAAAAAAAAAAAAAAAAAAGGAAAGGGGCAGCCUGCAGAGUCAAUUUGGGUUGGGGGCUGACUGGUCACAUGGGGUUGAAGGAAUGAUCUGUGUUAAUCUCAUAAAUCCAGAAUUCUGGCCUGAGUGUCAUCAACAGGUGGAUUUGGGCAUGAAGAAUCUUGCAGCCAUUGGGACCACUGGAAAAAGUCAUGGGUCUUCAUUACAAAUGUGAACUGGGCCAGUGAGAUGCCUCAAGGUGUCAAAAGCACUUGCCCAAGCCUGAUGACCAGAACCUAAAGUCCAAGAAUAGAAUCAAAGUCGUCCCCUGACCUCCAUACAUACAUCAAAGUACGUGUUCUCUGACGCAUGUGCAUGCGCGCAUGUUAUAAAGCAAGCCUGAAUGUAGUA